This 321-nucleotide ribosomal RNA is filed under the name Caridina mertoni. Its description in RNAcentral is "partial 16S ribosomal RNA". It matches the Rfam family "Bacterial large subunit ribosomal RNA", at positions 1954 to 2480 of the family's 2925-position model. Lineage: Eukaryota; Metazoa; Arthropoda; Malacostraca; Decapoda; Atyidae. The record is from RNAcentral.
AGGUAGCAUAAUAAAUAGUCUUUUAAUUGAAGUCUAGUAUGAAUGGUCGGACAUGAAGCAAGCUGUUUCAACUUUGACGUUUGAAUUUUACCUUUAAGUGAAAAGGCUUAAAUUAAAUGGUGGGACGAUAAGACCCUAUAAAGCUUUACAUUUUACUUCUCGGUUGUGGGAUCUAAGGUUUCUUAUUCUUAUUGAGUAGAAUGUUUCGUUGGGGCGACGGGAAUAUAAAAAGUAACUGUUUUUGUUUAAAAAAUACGUUUUUGUAGGUGAAUUGAUCCUUCUUUAAAGAUUAUAAGAUUUAAGUUACUUUAGGGAUAACAG